CCCUUAGAUGUCCGGGGCUGCACGCGCGCUACACUGAAGGAAUCAGCGUGCUAAAACCAUUGUCGAAAGGCAUUGGUAAACCCAUUAAAAUCCUACGUGAUUGGGAUCGGGAAUUGCAAUUAUUUCCCUUGAACGAGGAAUUCCCAGUAAGUGUGGGUCAUAAGCUCGCGUUGAUUACGUCCCUGCCCUUUGUACACACCGCCCGUCGCUGCCCGGGACUGAGCCGUUUCGAGAAAAGCGGGGACCGCUGCUGUCGGGGCUUUCGGGCCUUGGCUUCGGUGGAAACCGCUUUAAUCGCAGUGGCUUGAACCGGGCAAAANUCGUAACA
Molecule: ribosomal RNA, 328 nt
Filed under: uncultured eukaryote
Lineage: Eukaryota
Description: partial 18S ribosomal RNA
Rfam family: Eukaryotic small subunit ribosomal RNA
Source: RNAcentral